This 6607-nucleotide long non-coding RNA is filed under the name Nicotiana tabacum (common tobacco). RNAcentral describes it as "long non-coding RNA (NTAB_LNC009997)". Lineage: Eukaryota; Viridiplantae; Streptophyta; Magnoliopsida; Solanales; Solanaceae. The record is from RNAcentral.
GAAAAUUAUCAUGAAUUUUCUAAUUAAGAUAACUGAAAUACGGCUACAGCCAUCCUCAAAAUCUAGUGUCGACGAGUACACGAACCCUACUAAAUAACAAGAUACAAGAAAAAUCCUCUAAUAUAACUGUCUGAACAAUAGAACAAUAAAUAUAGAAAUAACUGAAAGAGAACUUCAAGGACUGCGAACGACAUAACAGCUACCUCGUAGUCUCCUAACAGCUAAUAGCCACUCAACUCUGAAAAUCGCCUCGGCCAGAUGCACCUGGAUCUACACACAAAGUGUAAAGUGUAGUAUGAGUACAACCGACCCCAUGUACUCAAUAAGUAACAACACUAACCUUGGGCUCAAUGUAGUGACGAGCUCAGAAAUAAUAGUCAUAUGCCAAUAUGGAUAACCAGUAAUAAUUUAAAAUAUAAAGGGAAAACAGUAGAAUAGGUAGCUCAAUCAUAUUGUGUUCAACUUGUUCACAUUAUAGGAAAUUUAGGCAUGCUUUCAAGUAUAACAAUUAAAGCCCAACACAGAUAAAAAAUUUUAAUUAACAAUUAGCAUGAGGAAAGUAUAUCUCUAUGCCUACAUAUUGAGUAUACAUGUCAAUCAACAGUAUCACAAUGGAUCCAUCAAUUAUUUACACUUAGCACAAGCACGUAUAUAAAACACUGUGUCUGUGCUCACUGCCGAUAUGUCUGACUCUGGAGUGACGGAUCCUGCCCAUUUAAUCAUAAUCAUUUAGCUUAAUAGUGAGGCCUAGUGCACGCGUUGCCCCAAAACAAAAAUACUUAGCCCAAUAUGGGCCUGAUGUACACGUCACCUCAAAAUCAGUACCAAACCGACUCUAUGGCCCAAACUCAGUCAUUUACCGUUCAAGUAUCAGAUAAAUACAUCUCACGAUACUCAUUUCAACAAUAUUACACAUAGGAGGCAUCAACAACAUGUGAGGAAUCAAAUAAGAAGUACUGAGACAGAGAUUUCAUACAUGGAUAUGGCAUCAUGACUGAGAACAUGUGUACAAUUAAGGCAAAUAGCUCAGAAACAACAAGAAAAUGACCCUAUCAAGUCUCAAACAAAUAAAGCUUAGCCUAGACAUGAUGUGUAACAUGAAUUACAACUCAAAUAAUAAAAAAGUGGGGAAAAUGCGGUUAUAACAAAGUAUGAUAGCAAAACAAACCCGAUAAUGGCCUAAAGGCCUCCCCAAACCAUGAACACACCGGUGUACGUACACACGCCUGUCACCUAGCGUGCACGUUAUCCUAAUAUCUUUCAUAUAAUGUAGUUCUUAGGAUUAAAUGCCCUCAAAUUGAAGUUUAGAUGUGUUACUUACCUCAAAAUACGCAAAUUAGUACUCCAAAAAGCCCUACCCACGAGCAUCGGCCUCCGAAUUACCAGAAUCUAACCACAAAAACUUAAUAUCAACAAACAAUGUCGUAGGAAAUAACUUCAAAUAAUAAAGCUUCGUUCUUUAUCAAAAUCAAAAGGUCACCCCUGGGCUUGCACGAGUCCAACGUUACCAAAAUCAUCUAAUUUCGACUCCAAAUCGACCUUCAAAUCCCCAAAAUUUAUUUUAGAAAGAUUUCUACAAAAUCCCCGUUUUCUCUACUUCAAAUCACCAAAUUAAUGAACAAGUAUGGAAUCAUGAUAAAUGAACAAAUCCGAGUAAAAAAUACUUACUCCGAUCCAAGACGUGAAAAUUCCAUCCAAAAUCGCCCAAAACCGAGCUCGACAACACAAAAUAUGAUAUAAUAACUCAAACCCUCGAAAUGGGAUUAUAACAGUCUAUCCAGUCAUUACUCUUCGCGAUCGCGGAAAGUCCCUCACGAUCGCAAAGAACAAAAAUCACCCACUGCUCAAUCCUCUUUCUCGAACACGAUGCCCAACACUCAAAAGCUACGCGAUUGCAGACCUAACCACGUGAUCGCGAUGAACAAACGCGUGACAUACUUAGGCCCUCCAUUACUUCUAAGCGAACACGUCUGAUCACCUGCGUUUGCGAUGAACAAAAACCCCCAAGGCUUCACGAACGCAUCUAACUCCUCACGAACGCGAAGAACAAAGACUCACAUGCCUGAAAUUACUCUACGCGAUCGUGACCCUAUAUUCACGAUCGCGAAGAAGGAAACCAGAAUCACAGAUUCAGCAGUUCCUCAAGUCCAAAACAUCAUCCGACAACCAUCCGAAACGCUCCCGGGUCCCCCGGGGACCCCAUCCAAAUACACCAACAAGUCCGAAAAUACAAUACGAACUUAUUCGGAGCCUCAAAUCACACCAAACAAUACCGAAACCAUGAAUCACAUAUCAAUUCAAGAAUAAUAAAACUUAUAAACUUCCAACUUCUAAAACCAAUGCCGAACUAUAUCAAAUAAACUCCGAAUAACCUCAACUUUUGCAUGAAUGUCCAAAAUGACACAACUGACAUAUUCCAACUCUCGGAACCGAAAUCUGAACCUGAUAUCAAUACAGUUAACUCUCGGUCAAACCUCUCAACCUUCCAAACCUUCAACUUUCCAACUUUUGCCAAAAGCCUCAAACCAACCCACGAACCUCCAAAUCAAUAUCCGGACAAACGUUGAAGUCCAAAAUCACCAUAUGAAGCUAUAGGAACCAUCAAAACUCCAUUCCGAAAUCAUCUAUACAAAGGUUAAAUUUCGGUCAACUUUUUCAACUUAAGCUUCCAACCUUUGGAAUAAGUGUCCCAAUUCACUCUGAAACUUCCCCGAAACUAGUCCAACCACCCCGAAAAGUCACAUAACCACAAAUAAGUAUAAAAGAAGGCAAUAAAUAGGGUAAUGGGGCUACAAUACAAAAAACAAUCAGCCACGUCGUUACAUUCUCCCCUCUUAAACAAACGUUUGUCCUUGAACGGGUCUAGAAUCAUACUUGGAGUCUCAAAUAGGUGAGGAUAAAUUCUCCGCAUCUCCCGCCCGGUCUUCCAAGUAGCCUCCUCAAUUGGCUGAUCUCUUCAUUGAACUUUCACUGAUGCAAUAUUCUUUGAUCUCAACUUUCAAACCUGCCAAUCCAAAAUAGCCACCGAUUUCAUAUCAUAAGUCAAGUCCCCAUCUAGCUGUACUGUGCUGAAGUCCAAAACAUGUGAUGAUCACCAUAAAACUUUCGGAGUAUAAAAACAUGAAAUACUGGGUGAAUGCCGAUAGACUAGGUGGUAAUGUAAGUUUGUAGGCCACUUCCCCAAUCCUCUCAAGCACCUUAAAAGGGCCAAUAUACUGAGGGCUCAACUUGCCCUUCUUCCCGAACCUCAUCACACCCUUCAUGAGCGAUACUAUGAGAAAAAACUUCUCACCCACCAUAUAUGCAACAUCACGAACCUUCCUAUUAGCAUAACUCUUCUAUCUGGACUGCGCUGUACGAAGUCGCUCCUGAAUAACCUUAACCUUCUCCAUAGCAUCACGAACUAAAUCAGUUCCUAACAAUCUAGCCUCCCCAGGCUCAAACCAACCAACCGCAGAAUGACAUCUCCUCCCAAACAAGGCCUCAUAAGGAGCUAUUUGAAUAUUCAACUAAAAGUUGUUGUUGUAGGCGAACACUACUAUUGUUGUUGUAGGCGAACACAUGCACGUAACAUGUCCUCCAAGAUCUGAAUAGUGCGCUCAGACUAUCCGUCCAUAUGAGGAUGGAAUUCUAUACUCAACUCAACCCGUGUGCUCAACCCUCGCUGCAAUACUCACCAAAACUGUGAUGUGAACUGCGUGCCUCAGUCAAAAAUAUGUAAACGGGCACGCCAUGCAAGCGGAUGAUCUCCCGAAUGUAGAUUUGAGCCAAACGCUCUGAAGAAUAGGAAGUCGCUACCGGAAUGAAGAGUGCGGACUUAGUCAACCGGUCCAUAAUAAGCCAAACUGCGUCAUAUUUCUUCAAAGUCCGUGGGAGUCCGACAAUGAAAUCCAUGGUGAUACGUUCCCACUUCCACUCCGGUAUCUUCAGCCUUUGAAUCAACCCUCCUGGUUUAUGAUGUUAUUUUUCCACCUGUUGAUAAUUCAAACACCGAGAGGCAUAAGCAACGAUAUCUUUCUUCAUUCUCCCUACCAAUAGUGCUGUUUCAAGUCAUGGUAUAUCUUCGUGACACCUGGAUGAAUGGAAUAGCGCGAAUUGUGAGCCUUCUCAAGUAUUAAAUCUCUUAACCCAUCAACAUUUAGAACACAAAUCCGGCCUUUAAGCUGCAUAAUACCAUCAUCAUCAAUCACAACCUCCUUAGCACCACCCCGAUGCACCGUGUCCUUCAACACCAACAAGUGAGGAUCAUCAAACUGGUGAAACUUGAUACGCUCCAACAACGAUGACUGAGACACAACGCAAGCAAGAACACGAUUAGGCUCCGAGACAUCCAUUCUCACAAACUAAUUGGCCAAGGCCUGAACAUCCAUGGCUAGUGGCCUCUCUGCUAUCAGUAAAUAUGACAAACUGUCCAUACUUUCCGCCUUCCUACUUAAUGCAUCGGCCACCACAUUGGCCUUCCUCGGAUGAUAUAAUAUAGUGAUAUCAUAUUCUUUCAGCAACUCUAACCACCUCCACAGUCUCAAAUUAAGGUCUUUCUGUUUGAACAGGCGCUGGAGACUAUGAUUGUCGGUAUAGACCUCACAAUAUACACCAUACAGAUAGUGUCACACCUCCUUUUUCCCGAGGGAUAGGGGAGUUUUUCUAAUUAAAGUGAAAAUAUUCGAAAUAAUAUUAUUUAUUUAAUUAGAGUCGCCACUUGAGUUAAUUAUUAUGGUGUCCCAUGUCACUGGUUUAUUUUAAGAUCCCAAAUCGAGGAAAUUAACUCUAUUUAUGGUCUGCGAACACAGAAGAUCGAGUAAAGAAUUCUGUUAACUCGGGAGAAGGUGUGAGGCAUUCCCGAGUUUCGUGGCUUUAGCACGGUCGCUUAACAAUUAAUAUUUGGCUUAAUUAUCUGAAUUAUUAUAUGUUUUAGAGACUUUUAUGCAUUACCGCUUAUGUACCACUUUAAUUAUUUUAAAUAAUUAUAGAAUUUAUUUAAACAAGUCGCGAUGUCGCGCGCUUGUUAUUUUUGUACACACCGCAAAUCACGCCUCGUGAAACAUACCCGUGAUUCACGACAUAUUUAUCUUAAUUAUUUGAAGUUGGGGUCAAGUCGCGUGAAACGCGCACUUGAGUUGGGAUUUAUAUAUCACGACCAUGCCACGAGAACCGUACCCAUGGUCACGAUAAUUUAUUAAUCGCGCCUAAAGCAAACUACGAUUGAAUUAUUUUUCUACUUUGAGAUUAUUGUAUUGUGAGGCCGAGAGUUAUGGAAUAGUUGUGAAAAAUAUAGUACGAUCUAAUUAUUAGGCUACCAAUAAAUAUUUAAAAGAAAACUAAAACUCAAAUACACUUUAUUUCUAAAUAUUGUUUGGUCCAAUUAGUUCCAACUAUUCCUACAGUCAAACUAUUUUCAGGAUAAACUUUAGCCCAAACCAAUUCUUUAACACUAUGUCUAGCAAUCUCGAUGCCCAUUUAUUACCAAUUAAUUGAUUUCAAUGCGUUGAACCCAUAGCUCGAAUCCAGUUGUGUUUACCUAGAAAUGCUAUAUUUCAUUUUAAAUCUAUUUUGUGACCUUGCUUCAAUAAAUAAAUAUUAAUAAAUUAUUAACAAUAUGAUGAAGAAAAUAAAGCAACACCAUAAUCUUACGUAAUCACUUUAAGAAAAUCUAUAGGCCUACAAGGUCAAUAACAAUGAAAAGAAAAGUUGGAAGUGGACUAAAUACUAACUCUCAAAGCAGCUUAAUUUAGGCUAUUAAACAAAUUCACUCUAACCCACCUAUAGGUUCAUCUUUCUUACUUAAUAUAAAAACCAGAAAAAAAAUUAAUUUAACUAAAUAAGAGCUACGAGGUACAUUUCACGCAAGAGCUUCACAUUCGAACAUCAACAGGAACAAAUCAAGGAAUUAAAAAUGCAGAAGAAAGUUUAGAAUUGGACCUUCAAUAGAGUAGAGCAUUUCAUAUAUUAAUAAACAACUUCCAAACCAAGCUUUAGUACAACAAUAACAAUUUGUUUAGAAGAGCAAAGACGGAAACUUGGAGCUAAUCCGAAUCGAAGACUCGACAAGCGAUCUCAACACUGACUGAAAAAUUUGAAUCCACUUUGUCUAGAUGCGUUUUGGGUUAUUUCAGAUAGUUUUUGGGGAGGUUUUGGAUCUGAUUUCGGACUAGUUUUCAGUUGGUUUGCAUGGCUGAUUUUGCUGAGUUUUUGGCUGGAAAACAUAGCGUGUUUUUGCUGGGUUUUAAAGCUAAUUUUUGGGAGGCUUUUCAGCUGGAUUUGGUGUUGAUUUUGGAGCUGAUUUGAGGUGUUUUGGGGUUGGAUUUUGGGUGUGUUUGGGAUAAUGUUUAUGCUGUUUUUUGUGAAGCUUUUGGCUGUGUUUCCAUGGCUAGCUUUGGAGGACAAUUUUUCCUAAUUGAAGAAGAAAGGGCUACUGCUUUUUUCUGUUCUCUCCCUCCUUUGCUCGCCUAUUUGGUGGCCCUUUUAUUUUGCCUUCCCACGAUCUCCCCCUUUUUCUUGUGUGUCUGUGUGUGUUUGGAGGGAAGAAAAUGUGAGCGGGGGACAUGGGUGGUGAAAGUGGGAGUGUGAGAAGUGGGAAGUAAGUGAGGGAAGUGGAAGUUAGGUAUUG